This 442-nucleotide ribosomal RNA is filed under the name uncultured bacterium. RNAcentral describes it as "partial 16S ribosomal RNA". It matches the Rfam family "Bacterial small subunit ribosomal RNA", at positions 339 to 795 of the family's 1533-position model. The record is from RNAcentral.
CUACGGGGGGCAGCAGUGGGGAAUAUUGGGCAAUGGGCGAAAGCCUGACCCAGCAACGCCGCGUGAUUGAAGAAGGUCUUCGGAUUGUAAAAAUCUGUCCUUGGGGACGAAAAAAAUGACGGUACCCAAGGAGGAAGCCCCGGCUAACUACGUGCCAGCAGCCGCGGUAAUACGUAGGGGGCGAGCGUUGUCCGGAAUUACUGGGCGUAAAGGGUGCGCAGGCGGCGCUUUAAGUCAGAUGUGAAAUACCCAGGCUUAACCUGGGGGGUGCAUUUGAAACUGGAGUGCUUGAGUGCAGGAGAGGAAAGUGGAAUUCCUAGUGUAGCGGUGAAAUGCGUAGAUAUUAGGAGGAACACCAGUGGCGAAGGCGACUUUCUGGACUGUAACUGACGCUGAGGCACGAAAGCGUGGGGAGCAAACAGGAUUAGAUACCCUCGUAGUC